AGGAGCAACAGCCCCAGUGGCGGGGCCAGCUCUGCAGCCCUGGAUUCAGCCCCCGCAGGAACUCCGGAGCUCUCUGUCUGCAGGGCCUGGAGGCUCCGGGCGGGG
RNAcentral lists this microRNA precursor (105 nucleotides) under Canis lupus familiaris (dog). RNAcentral's name for it is "mir-8834 microRNA precursor family". It matches the Rfam family "mir-8834 microRNA precursor family". Lineage: Eukaryota; Metazoa; Chordata; Mammalia; Carnivora; Canidae. The record is from Rfam by way of RNAcentral.